Molecule: ribosomal RNA, 103 nt
Filed under: uncultured bacterium
Lineage: Bacteria
Description: partial 16S ribosomal RNA
Source: RNAcentral
UACGUUCCCGGGCCUUGUACACACCGCCCGUCACAUCACGAAAGUGGACUGUACUAGCCCGCAAGGGAGGCAGGUGACCACGGUAGGGUCAGCGACUGGGGUG